This 468-nucleotide ribosomal RNA is filed under the name uncultured bacterium. RNAcentral describes it as "partial 16S ribosomal RNA". It matches the Rfam family "Bacterial small subunit ribosomal RNA", at positions 28 to 507 of the family's 1533-position model. The record is from RNAcentral.
GACGAACGCUGGCGGCGUGCUUAACACAUGCAAGUCGAACGGAAAGGCCCUGCUUUUGUGGGGUGCUCGAGUGGCGAACGGGUGAGUAACACGUGAGUAACCUGCCCUUGACUUUGGGAUAACUUCAGGAAACUGGGGCUAAUACCGGAUAGGAGCUCCUGCUGCAUGGUGGGGGUUGGAAAGUUUCGGCGGUUGGGGAUGGACUCGCGGCUUAUCAGCUUGUUGGUGGGGUAGUGGCUUACCAAGGCUUUGACGGGUAGCCGGCCUGAGAGCGUGACCGGCCACAUUGGGACUGAGAUACGGCCCAGACUCCUACGGGAGGCAGCAGUGGGGAAUAUUGCACAAUGGGCGGAAGCCUGAUGCAGCAACGCUGCGUGCGGGAUGACGGCCUUCGGGUUGUAAACCGCUUUCGCCUGUGACGAAGCGUGAGUGACGGUAAUGGGUAAAGAAGCACCGGCUAACUACGUG